AUUUAUUCUCUCACUCAUAUCUUUUCUCUUUAACUCAUAUCUCUCUCUUACAGUCAUCUCUCUCCUGGCUCAUCUCUAUCCGCUCUUAUCUUUCUAUGUUGUUCUCUCUUCGCCCAUCUCAACUUAGAGGACACUAUGUGCCUCAACUUGCAGAGCUUAUACUUUAUCUUCGUUUGGUUGGAGUUUUGUUUCGAUUGGAGCUUGGAGGUUUCGAUUUAAUUGGAGAUCUAAGUUCAACUCCCAAGAAUUUUGCUCUAAAGAUAGUUUUGGUCUAUCCAUUAUUUUCCGCACUUCUGAACUAGCAACUGCAAUACUGAUAGACUUGAUAUCGCAAGAAGGCUAAAGAGUUCAAC
This is a long non-coding RNA of Daucus carota subsp. sativus, 353 nucleotides long. RefSeq lists it as uncharacterized. Lineage: Eukaryota; Viridiplantae; Streptophyta; Magnoliopsida; Apiales; Apiaceae. The record is from RefSeq and is a predicted model, not a curated record. The transcript has 4 exons.